AAAGUAUCAGACUUCACACCAUAUGAUGCUGAUAAUUUUUAAAGCUAAACCCAUUCCUGCGUAGAUAACGCUGGAAAACAGUAGAUCGGGCAGCAUAAGUAGACGGAGAAAUGGUUAAUGUUUCAGAUUGAAGACCCUUCUUCAGAACUGAGUAAGGGAGAAAACAAGUCAGUCAAGAUUUCAGAGAAGGUGGGGAGGACAACGGGCGGAACAAAGUUAAACUGGCCCCAGUGUGAUCGGAGUCUCUACCUGGACUGAAGAGAAGCAGGCAAGAGAAAGGUUUGUAAAGAUGCAGCAUCUUGUAUCCUGGACAGAGGGUAUUGAUCUACUUUCAGUACUGGGUUGAUGGUGUCUUUAAAAUCAUCACAGAUCCUGACAGACCAAUCAUUCAAGGCUACUAGGACUAUUGGCACUGCCCACGGCUCCACCCCAACUUGGGAAGAAUUCCUUCAGCCUCCAUGUGAUCUAGCUCACUGGCUACUUUAUCACGGAUGGUAAAGGGAACCAGUGGCUGGAGUUUCUGGGAGCAAUUCAGAAGGCACAGGAUAGAUACAUCCCAAAGAAGAAAAAGCAUUCUAAAGGUGGAGAGACACAAGCAUGGUUGACAUGGGAAGUCAAAGCCAACAUAAAAGCCAAAGAGAAGCUCAGCGUGUGGCUGCAGACAAAAUGGAAGAUGAAGCCUCAGGAUGGUGUCAUUCAUCAGUUAGGACCCUUGCUCCUAGGACAUGCCCUCGUUUUGUUCCUACCAUCAGGGGUGUGGUACACGAGCCUGAAGACCUACACAUAAAGAUUCAGAAACAGCUUCUUCCCCAUCUCGAUUGGAUUUUUGAAUGGCUGCUCGUAGAGGACCAAAGCCCGAGGCUGAAGUUUCCUAUGUAGUAGCGGCAACAUGACUUUUAGAGGUGGAGUGAAGAAGACCCCCUGAAACAUUUUCAAAGACUUUGCUAGCCAGCAAGUUCUCACACCCAACUUUGGCAGUGAUCAAAAGGGAUUUUGAAUGUCCCUAAGGAAAAUUAAAAUACACCAAUAUGAAAGCACCUAAAACAAUUAUUAAUAUUUAUAAACAUUAAAAUUAAACAAAAUAAACAUAGACAAGUAACUUUUCAUCUUUUUUUAGUUUAGAGUCCCACAAUCCCCAUUGAAAUCAUUAACACCUGAGCUCCUAGGCUAGACCAUGCCAUCGGCGAUAUGAGUCCCCAGUGCAACUACUGAGGAAUGACGAUCAGUAACUGAAUGUGUUGACACGUGUGGUCCUUUAGUUAUUAGGAAAGCCCAGAAUCUACACACUUGACAAAGCAUGUGCCAGUGUCCUGGACUUCUGCCUUUUAGAUGGCUAAAUGCCAGUCAUCUGUUUAAAGCUGCCAGCAAGUUCCAAACCACCAACUUAGCAAUCCCUGUAACUUUGUUACUACGUUUUUCAAUGAAAUGAGUCCUUGCUGUUUGUUUCCAUCAGUGAGUGAGUCUAUUAACAGCACAUAUAAGUAAGACACUUCUGCUAAAGGGCAUUCAGUCUGUUAAAAGGAAUUACAAUUUGAUUACUUGAAUCUGAAUUUGAUAUAUUAUUUGACAGCUUUCCUGCUCCUCAAACAGACACAAGGAAGCACUGUGAGGAAUAUUUAUACAUAAUAAUACCCUGGUAUGGCUUCAACAAACAUUAUGAAUUUCACAUUAUAUUGUAAAUAUAUUUAAACAUUUUGUUGAAUUAGAUUGUAAAUUUGACAAAAAAUAUACUAAUUGUUAUUAUUUCCCAUUGCUGGUGAGCAGAAUGAAUACAGUGAGUCUGCAUAAUUACACUUGAACCUGAAUAAUUAGAAAAUUAUGACUCCUUACUUUUUCUUUUCAGUCAAUCAGAUGUCUGAUGCCAGAGUGAGAUAUGAAAUUGCAAUGUCAGUAUUUUUUCAGGAAUUAUGAAAGUAUAUGAUUUGUUAUCAGAACCUUCUAAAAACAACAGUUUAUAUGUAGUACAAUAUCAGAUAAUAAAUAUCUUCCAUUUCAUGAUUGAACCUACUUUAAUUAAUGCCAUUUUAAUAUUACUUAAAUUUACCAUUAUUAUAAUUUGAGAUACUUUCUAUCAUUUUAAAAUGAUUGGUACAAUCUACCUUCAGCAGGAGUGGCCUAAUUUAGGAAUUACUUCUAAUUAAAUCUGGGCAUCUGUAGUACCUCAAAAGUUAAUUUGUUCAUGGCUUAAAUUGAAAGAUAUCAAAAGACAAAAAUGUUGACCAAAAAUCUGAUUCUUUGAUCUUAUGUGUGGUGUUUUAAGUCUUAGCACCAUCUCUGAAAUUCAGUUAAAUCAAAUGUGUGUCAAGGUGAUCCUAUUAAAACCUGACUGAAUAUUACAAAGAGCUUCACCCCUAAUGUAAUCAGUCCAUUGACAGUCCAACUGACAAAUAAUAAUAACAAGGAAUAACAGGAACUCAUCACUUCCUCCCUAAAAAUAGUCUUUAUGGUUUUGCUGUCCAUCAUAGUACUUUAGAACAAGACAACCUUCACUUAAUGUUUUUCUAAAGGAAUGACUUCAUGUAUAACAAUCAGGGUAGUAAGUGAAGUUACGUUUUGCUUUGGUAAGGAAAACCAGGAUGUCAGUCUUUGCAUGAGGUGUAGGUCAGUUCAGAGCCGUUAAUGCUGGUCAUCCUUGUAUUCUUCGAAGUGUUGCUGACUACACCAAGGACUAAUGUGGUAAUGCUGUUUCAAUAAGUAUACUAAACUCUGAAAUAUGAUAGCCAGAGUGUGUUUAGAAGGAAAUUUGAUACGUACAGGAGGAUGUUAGGAAUAGUUUCACUCAACUAAACCAUUCAAAGAUGGGAUCAAAGCCAGUCGCAUUCUUGGGAGUGGACUGAAUGUCCAGCCAUUGCCUUGUUUUAGUCACCGCCAAGAGUGAAAAUUGGCUCAAGCUAGCGUAUCUUGAGUGGGCUAACAUCAUGGCCACAAGUUUGCAGUAACUGAACAAGUCCAGAUGGUGAGAAUUGAAUGAUAUGGUUAGGCGCACUACCCUGUGUAAACUGUGCUGUGUGCUAAAGGCUGGAUAUGUCAGACUGAUCCAACGUUUAAAGUAGGUUUGCUGAACAGAACCAAACAUAUCUGGGCUCCUGGGGACCACUUUUAACAUCACGGUUUGAAAGUCUAUUUGGCAGAUAGAUCUCUUUGGCAUAAGGAUGCCAGGUUUGAACCGGCUUGAACAAGUAUUAGAAAGGUAUGCUUGGUGGGGUCACAGAACAGACAUGUACUGAGUCUAUGCUGCAAGGUUGGAGUGUGGAAUCACAUUGCUGUUGCAACACCCCACUUGCUUUGAUACUCCUGAUACAUUUAUUUAUAUACUUAUUCAUUGAGAGAGAGUGUGGAGUACGCCCCUCUGGCCCUUCGAGCCACACUGCUCAGCAACCCCAAAUUUAACCCUAGCCUAAUCAUGGAACAAGUUAUAAUGACCAACUACCCUAGUAAUUGGUACAUCUCUGGACUGUGGGAGGAAACCAGAGCACUUGGAGGAAACUCACGCCAUCAUGGGGAGAAUGUACAGACAGCGGUGGGAAUUGAACCCGAGUCGCUGGUAUUGUAAAGCGUUGUGCCAACCAUUAUACAACCAUGCCGCCCAUUGAAAGGGCAAUUUGGCCAGAACUUGCUGUGGGUGGGUCAGUUGAUAAUCUAUUACUGCAGCAGGUACAUGGCCCAAUAUCAUUAAGCAAGGGGUCAGCAGACCCCAGUUUGGGAAUCCUUGGUAAAAGAUGGUUGAUGGUUCGUGUGAACGUCAUAGGAUAAAUGGGCUUGUGCACUGUGUGUCUCCAUUAUCUGUCAUUUCAAUUUUGUGCAUUUGAGCUUUUAACAAAUCAUUAACAAAAAGAAGCAGAUCCAAAACAGGAAAAAUUUGCUUUUUAAAGCAGAGAUUGUUUUGGGAGAGGACACCAUGCUCCUGAAAAUCAAAUGCUCUGGUCAAACUUUAUGAAGCCAAUAUAUCACUGCAAGCAUUACACGUGGACAUAAGAGAAUACAGUUAUGAUCUAUCAGUGGCAGUAGCGCAACUUCUUUGGAAAUUUAAAGAUAUGAUUUAGUCAAUGUUAUCUCAAAAAUCUAAUUGUAUUUCCUUUCAUUUGUUCAGUGAUUAGAAUCUUAACACUUUACAUUAAAUAGUUACAUAUUUAUGUAAUACAUUAGUUUAAUUACACCAAAAACAAGUUUUGUAUUGAAAUUUUAUAUCCAGUACAGUCAUUUUGCUACCUGUGCUUAAA
This is a long non-coding RNA of Hypanus sabinus (Atlantic stingray), 4220 nucleotides long. RefSeq lists it as uncharacterized. The record is from RefSeq and is a predicted model, not a curated record. The transcript is spliced from 6 exons. NCBI's taxonomy places the organism in Eukaryota, Metazoa, Chordata, Chondrichthyes, Myliobatiformes, Dasyatidae.